UGGGGAAUAUUGCACAAUGGAGGGAACUCUGAUGCAGCGACGCCGCGUGAACGAAGAAGGCUUUCGAGUCGUAAAGUUCUUUUAUAUGGGAAGAUAAUGACGGUACCAUAAGAAAAAGCCCCGGCUAACUACGUGCCAGCAGCCGCGGUAAUACGUAGGGGGCUAGCGUUGUCCGGAAUCACUGGGCGUAAAGGGUUCGCAGGCGGAAAUGCAAGUCAGGUGUAAAAGGCAGUAGCUUAACUACUGUAAGCAUUUGAAACUGCAUAUCUUGAGAAGAGUAGAGGUAAGUGGAAUUUUUAGUGUAGCGGUGAAAUGCGUAAAUAUUAAAAAGAAUACCGGUGGCGAAAGCAACUUACUGGGCUCAUUCUGACGCUGAGGAACGAAAGCGUGGGUAGCAAACAGG
This 403-nucleotide ribosomal RNA is filed under the name Fusobacteriota bacterium. Its description in RNAcentral is "Fusobacteria bacterium partial 16S ribosomal RNA". It matches the Rfam family "Bacterial small subunit ribosomal RNA", at positions 355 to 776 of the family's 1533-position model. Lineage: Bacteria; Fusobacteriati; Fusobacteriota. The record is from RNAcentral.